RNAcentral lists this long non-coding RNA (4438 nucleotides) under Olea europaea (common olive). Its description in RNAcentral is "long non-coding RNA (OEUR_LNC009073)". Lineage: Eukaryota; Viridiplantae; Streptophyta; Magnoliopsida; Lamiales; Oleaceae. The record is from RNAcentral.
GGCAUAAAAAAAUUUCACUGGGUACAUCCAUAUUUAUUUCCAGAGUCCUUAAAAGAAUAGAAAACCCAAAUUCCAAAUAUCCGAUCGUUUACGAACAUUUUGGUCAAUUACUAGAAAACUCUGCUUGUGGCAACCAGGGUUAGUACAUUCAUAAAAGCACUCAGGGACUUUGUCCCAUUGAUGUAUUCUUACAAUUGGCGUGAAAACAGGUCACCAUUUCAUGAAUAAAAACUCGCCACAAAACAGAAUCGCAAUCUGCUUCUAGUUCAAAGGGUGUCGUUCAAUACAGGAGAUGAUCAUAGAGAUCUGAUGAUUGUACAACACCAAGAAUUUAGUUUCAUCCCGUGAAAGUAACUAACUGUUGAAAAAUCAUUUUCUUCGCUUAUUAAGGGCAAAGGCAUGUUUUCACACAAUAUGCGUUUCACAAUUUGACUGAUCUAAACAUAUGGUGUAACCUUUUAUAGUUUGUAUUUUCCAGUUGUAGGAAACAAUAAAGAUAUAUAACACAUUGCACUUAUAUACCAAAAACCCAUUUAUAGAUAUAUUAGAUAAUUCAGGUCUGAGGCCCACAGAGACAGCAAGAAAAUGCCGGCCAGAUGAUCUAGUAAAAACUACAAGCAAACAUAUGGUGUAACCUUUUAUAGUUUGUAUUUUCCAGUUGUAGGAAACAAUAAAGAUAUAUAACACACCUUGAAGAAUUACUCCCAAGAGAAAAAGCUUAAUGGUCCUCAAUAUAACUUUCUUUGUAGCUGCUGAUUUGUUAGGUACUUUCUGUGUAGAAAACAUGAACACGCUUUUACCAGUUGACUUAAAACAACAAGAAUAGCUUCAGCAUUAGAGACAUCUACUCUUAAUCUGAAGUCAAAAAGACCAUCAAUAUAACAUGAACUACUAAAUAAGAUGUAAGGAAAGGCUUUAUGUUGGGAAAUCAUGUCUUUUCCCUUAUAUCUCGUUCUUUCCAACAAGUUGGAGCAUUAACAAAUUCCUUCCUUAUAAAGAAUCAAAAGAAUUCAAGUGAGAAUUGUCAAUACCUUGAACACAAGACUCACAGAGACACCAACACCAAAGAGAAAAAACGGCAUCACAAAGUCGGCGAUUGUCACUCCGAACCACGGUGCGUGGUUUAUCGAUGGAAAAGCUUUUCCAGCAUCAUCAACUAAAAUCAUCAGCUGCCAACGAAAGGGUAAACGAGAUUACAAAAGAACUUUUAAACACUAAAGUAAAAGAUGAACUAAUAACAAAUAGAGAAAUAGUUAUCUGAAGUAACCGAAAUUCAUCGAGUGCAUUGAAAUUAAAGAACGAAAUGAAAUGAAAGCAUAAUUUUAUUAAAUACAAUCAAGGUGACAUACCGCGAUAGUGAUGCCUCGGAAAACGUCGAGAGAGACAAGUCGUUGUUUAGGAUCAGUUGAAAUAUUAGACUCUGAUUUAUCUGGUAGCUCCUCCACUGGCGCCGUCGAAUAGACAGUUUCUCCGUCUCUGACCGUCACAUCUCCCCGCGAAUCCUCAGGUUGUGAGUUCUGAAGUAGAGGAGUGCGGUCUCCGCCGUCGGUGUCUGUUACCACCACGAUCGAGGCCAUCUUUUUUUGGCCAGUCCCACCUGUGUCAACGGUCAAUUUGAGGGCACACCCCUCUGCGCCUCUUCAGUUUGACAAAGUUUAGUUAAAAAAUUGAAUGUUAAUUCUAUUUUAAAUUUGAGAGUGCCGUAAUUUUAAAAAUGUACAAUUGAGUGAAUGUAGUUUUAUAAACCGUGCAGUAUACUUCCUACAAUAUCUUACUUUUGUUUUUUGGCACGGAAGUCCCCAAGUUACGUAUUUUGGUGUGCAAUUGGUUUCCUUUACAAAGUGGCACCAAGAUCCAAAAAAAUUAUUGUCUCUAUGUUUAAUGGAGAUUUCCCGCAUCUAUUGCAACUUGGUCGACAAUACAAUUCUUGAACUUUUAACCUAAAACACAUUUCAACUAGAAACUAUCCAAAUUUUUGAUGCUACCUCAAAUUUCGUUGAUAUAAAGGGUAAAAAUUAGAUACGAAGGCUCGGAUUUUGAAAUUUAAUGGAUUUAGGAGAAUAAAAUAAAUUAGGGCACAUUCUCACCGCUCGUGGAUUACAAUUUUGCUUACAAGAACGGUGAUUUGACGAAAAUCUUCUUGCUGAUUUGUUUUUGCAACGUGUUUUCCAAUUUGUGAAACAGAUUAUCAAUUUUCCCCAAAUUUGUGAUUUGACGUAAUUUUCAGUUUGCCCCCUCCUUUUAGUGCAAUUGUCAAGGUUUUUACCUGUUUAAUUAUCAAACUGAAUAAAAUUUCACACCUAGUUUGUUGAAAAAUUAGAAAGGGGUGUUCGAACCCCCCUAGUCAGAAACAGAGGGUACAAAAAAAGGCAUAAAAAAAUUUCACUGGGUACAUCCAUAUUUAUUUCCAGAGUCCUUAAAAGAAUAGAAAACCCAAAUUCCAAAUAUCCGAUCGUUUACGAACAUUUUGGUCAAUUACUAGAAAACUCUGCUUGUGGCAACCAGGGUUAGUACAUUCAUAAAAGCACUCAGGGACUUUGUCCCAUUGAUGUAUUCUUACAAUUGGCGUGAAAACAGGUCACCAUUUCAUGAAUAAAAACUCGCCACAAAACAGAAUCGCAAUCUGCUUCUAGUUCAAAGGGUGUCGUUCAAUACAGGAGAUGAUCAUAGAGAUCUGAUGAUUGUACAACACCAAGAAUUUAGUUUCAUCCCGUGAAAGUAACUAACUGUUGUCCUGCAUCCACUGCACCCAAUUAAAGCUCUUUUAGAUACAAAUUUUCCUUUACCUAUUGAUAAAGAACACACAAUCAAAAUGAAAAUGCAACCCUGAACGUUCACUCUGCUUAAAUUGGCCCAUGUUUAGUUAUCUAUAGAUUAAUAAUGGUGGAUCAGAAGAUGAUGAAAGGUGCUUCUAAAAACUGAGGUGAAGAUUGGUCUGAGGGGUUCGGACUAAUACAUGGCAAAGCCGUUCCAUAUUUUGAAGUGGCUAACUAACUAGUUUAGACCAACAUGCAAUUGUAGUCCAACUUAAGAGAGUAACAACAGAGUCCCAGAUAUCCACAAGGCAAAAUAGGAUCGGGAGCUUGAGAAGCUAAGCGUUGCACUUAUAUACCAAAAACCCAUUGAUAGAUAUAUUAGAUAAUUCAGGUCUGAGGCCCACAGAGACAGCAAGAAAAUGCCGGCCAGAUGAUCUAGUAAAAACUACAAGCACUAUGAAACAAGAGGUCUUCCAUUCCAUAGGGAUAUAUGCAUCUGAGGAUAAAAGGGCGAAAUACCCUUAAUUAGAAAAUGCAGACAAGCAUGCUUGAACGCGUUGGAUUGCUUGUCCAUGGCUCAAGAUUGAUGGACAAAAUAUAAAGGCAAUAAAACUGUAUAGAAAAGUAUGGAGUUACUCUAGCUCAAUUCAUGUUCAGCUUGAUCUACGGACAGCUUAAGAUUGACCAGUCAGGAAUUUAACCAAGCUCAACCUCAAUCUCAAACUUAUUAAGUAAAUCAGACUAAGCCUUAACCUACUGUUUUUCUUGGUUAGAUUUGCUUACCCUCCACGCAAAACCCCAAAAAGAGGAGUUAAUGAAUUUAAUCAGGAGUUAAUGAAUUUAAUCAUGCAAAGGGGAAAAAAUAAAUAAAUAAUUUGAUAAAUUGAAGUACCUUUAUAACCUAGGAAUGAUGGACUCAUUAUGAGUUCCACAAUUUUGAUGCUACCUCAAAUUUCGUUGAUAUAAAGGGUAAAAAUUAGAUACGAAGGCUCGGAUUUUGAAAUUUAAUGGAUUUAGGAGAAUAAAAUAAAUUAGGGCACAUUCUCACCGCUCGUGGAUUACAAUUUUGCUUACAAGAACGGUGAUUUGACGAAAAUCUUCUUGCUGAUUUGUUUUUGCAACGUGUUUUCCAAUUUGUGAAACAGAUUAUCAAUUUUCCCCAAAUUUGUGAUUUGACGUAAUUUUCAGUUUGCCCCCUCCUUUUAGUGCAAUUGUCAAGGUUUUUACCUGUUUAAUUAUCAAACUGAAUAAAAUUUCACACCUAGUUUGUUGAAAAAUUAGAAAGGGGUGUUCGAACCCCCCUAGUCAGAAACAGAGGGUACAAAAAAAGGCAUAAAAAAAUUUCACUGGGUACAUCCAUAUUUAUUUCCAGAGUCCUUAAAAGAAUAGAAAACCCAAAUUCCAAAUAUCCGAUCGUUUACGAACAUUUUGGUCAAUUACUAGAAAACUCUGCUUGUGGCAACCAGGGUUAGUACAUUCAUAAAAGCACUCAGGGACUUUGUCCCAUUGAUGUAUUCUUACAAUUGGCGUGAAAACAGGUCACCAUUUCAUGAAUAAAAACUCGCCACAAAACAGAAUCGCAAUCUGCUUCUAGUUCAAAGGGUGUCGUUCAAUACAGGAGAUGAUCAUAGAGAUCUGAUGAUUGUACAACACCAAGAAUUUAGUUUCAUCCCGUGAAAGUA